This 50-nucleotide transfer RNA is filed under the name Lebertia trifurcilla. RNAcentral's name for it is "tRNA-Gly". Lineage: Eukaryota; Metazoa; Arthropoda; Arachnida; Trombidiformes; Lebertiidae. The record is from RNAcentral.
AAACAGAUUUAAUUAACUUCCAAUUAAUAACAAGCCCAAAGCUCUGUUUA